AGGUUGCUUUGGAGAGUAAACAGUGGCUUUUACUGUGCAUUGGGGCUAUUUAUUCGCUUGGAAUAAAAUUCAGCAAAGUUAACUGAGAGCAUUUGCAAUUAUUUUUAAUGAGAUUUUUACUUCGCCGAUAAAAAAAAGGGAAAACAGAAAACUUUAUAUAUAUAAUUAGAUUAUAUUAAAAGAUUUAGAGAGUUUUAAAAUAUUCCAACAGAAACAAAGUGAAAGGGUAUGACCACUAGAGUAAUCAAAGAUAAGAUGAUUACAGAGAAACAAAGAAGCUGGACCCACUCAACAAUAAAUGAGAGCCAUCGAUUUUUGCAGCCCCGUUUUAUCUCAAAUAGACAGUUGAAGAAUGGUGUUGCAGUAGCCCUUACCUUGUUGCAGUGAAGGGAACAAACAGGAAAACCCUAAAAGGGUAGAGUUUGGGGCAAGAAUAUUGUGGCUGCAUCAAAAAAACAUAACAAAAGCAAUGGGCAAUUUAAAAAGUGCAGAGACAGAAGAGAAACAGUAAUGAGAUUGGGUCCACACUGUUUGAUGGUUCCUAAUUCAACAAUUGUUUUAAUUAUCUUGCACUCGGCCGGUUCCAUAGUCUUCUAUUGCGGCCGGGUCAAUAGUCUUCCUAUUGUCGGCUAGUCAUGAUCUUUAUUGCGGCUAGUCAUGGUCUUAGAUUGCGUUGCCGUCAAAUCUCCUUCCGACGUCUCUUGGAAGCUAUAAGAGGGGGGGCUGAAAGAAGAAAAGAAGAGAGAGGAAGAGUGUGUUGCAAGGGACAUUUUUAUACUUGUGGAGAGUGGGUUCUUGAUGAGUGGUGUAUAGGUAUUGGGAUGGUAUAUUCAUACUCAAAUAUACUUGUCUAUUUUACUCAUAGUGAAAGAACGUAAAAAAAAAAGAUCCGCUCCCGUGGAGUAUAUGCGGUUAUUUGCCCGAACCACGUAAAUUAUUGUGUGUCUCUCUCCUUUUUACAUUCAUUCAUCAUACGUCAAUUGGUUGUGUUGUGGUUGUGUUCUAAUCUCGGUUUCUUGGGUGGCUUCCGCUGUUAAAACCCCAAACAACUGGUAUCCAAGCGCUUGGUUUCUUGUCCGGUGUUUGAGAUUCGGUUUUCAUUCAAUCCAUAACACAAUGAAGGCAACGAUCACUCUACACUCUCAUUUUCUGCCGAACGGUUUUAAUGGAAAUAUAGCUUUACUCUAAUGGCAACGAAGGGUAAAAGAUAUCCUUCUUCAACGGGCUUGCUAAUGCGUUGAAAGGAAAGGAUGCUAAACCGAGAGACGAUGAAAGAUGAUUAUUGGUAAGAGUUAAUGAAUGAAAUGUGUGGAGCACUAUUUCGGCUCGGUAUUGCUGAUAAUAUUAUCAACAUGUUUAUGGUGAAUGAUGAUCGGCAUCAGCCUUGUGGGGAAGUUGGAAAACUCUAUCUUGCCAAGAGUUUGACCAACAGUUCAUCUGAAGCGACAAUUAUAUCUGCUAAAGAAUGGAGGAAGGCGGGAGCCUCAUGUAGCACAGAACGUUUCAAUGGUUCUUUAGAUCAGCUGCGAAAGUGAUGUAAAAAUAGAUGAAGAAGACAAGGCCCUUUUUGCUUCCUUCACAUCUCUUCCUCUUCCGGAUUCGUAUGAUACUUUGGUUGACAACUCUUUGUUGUAAAAGAAACAGUGAGUUGGAGCAAUGCAGUCGUCAUUGGUUUCUCUUGUAUCAAAAAAAGGAGGAGGUCAGAGAGGUUUUGAGGAUGGAGAAGUGCAGUCUCUUGCGGUUCAAAGUGGAACGGGGAAAGAAAUCUGAUGGUAGAUCUGGAUGGAGCAAACGGUCCAGUUCUAGUUCCAGAGGCAAGGGUGUACCAUUCUACUAUUGCCAAGAAUUUUGGUCAUGUUAAGCGUGAUUAGUCCUUUGCGCAAGAUAAAGGGAAGAACUUCGACGACGCUACAAGCUGCAAUUCUUUGGUGGUAGCGGAUGAUGAGAUUGCCUCACAGUCUCUGAAGGUAUUCACACUUCUUUCUCAUGAGGAGUGAUUUAGAUUCGGGUUGCCUCGGGCAUAUUUGCUCUAAAAGGAAUUUUUGACACACUUCCAGAAAGAGAUGGGGGGUCGCUAUUUUUUGGACGAUGGAACUCCAUGUAAAUUCAAAGGUGUCGGGAAUGUAAAGAUAAAAAUGUUUUGGAUGGAGUGUUUCGUACUUUGGGUGGUGUGAAUUUAUAAUCCCGAAGUUACGAAGGAAUCUAAUUUUCACUUACGCGGAUGGACUCCAUGGAUCAAGUAUUUUUGCUUUGCAGGUGGAGCCAUGCAUAUCACACCGCUCGUCAGCAGGAUUCUAAGAAAAGGAGAGAAUGCGAAGGAUUGUAUCGGUUGAAUUGGCAAAACUAUUUACUCGACGAAGGUUUUGGAACGGUGUGCACAAGGAAGUGGGUACCCAUGUGUGAGUCUUUUGCGGCAAAUACAACGUUAUUUUCAAGUUGUGCCGAUGGAUGUGAGGGUGUAAACUCGUUGGAAGAGAGGAUGGGUCGGAAUUCCUUCUCGGUGACACUUGAUGAUAAUUGGCACGGGAUGGCUACACGGGUUUUUUUGGUCGUGUGAUUUUGAAUAAAUUUUUAUUCGGGUGGUGUAGUCCAUUGUAUCAGCUUGGGUGGAGUGCGUCGUGCACUUGGAAUUCCUCACCAAGGUGGAGAUUGUUGGGAUUGGUUCUAAUUUCAACAAUUGUUUAAUAGCUUGCACCGCCGGUCAUAGUCUUCUAUUGCGGCCGGGUCAUAGUCUUCUAUUGCGGACCGGUCAUAUCUUCUAUGCGGCUGGGUCAUGGUCUUCUAUUGCGCUGAGUCAUGUCCUUUGACUUUGAUUGCGGCUAGUCUGGUCUUAGAUUGCGGUUGCCUCAAAGUCUCCUUCGCGUCUCUUGGAAGGCUAAUAAGAGAGGGGCUGAAGAAAGAAGAGAAGAGAGAGGAAGAGUGUGUGCAAGGGAACCAGUUUUAUACUUGUGAUAGUGUGUUCUUGAUAAUGUGUAUAGGGAUUGGGGUUGGAUAUUCAUACUCAAGUAUACUUGUACUAAUUUUUACUCAUAGUUAAAGAACUGGAUCUUCUCCAUGGAGUGGCGGUUAUUGCCGAACCACGUAAAUUAAUUGUUUUGUCUCUCUCCAUUUUAACAUUUCAAUCAUACUCUCCAAUUGGUUGUGUUGUGGUUGUAUUUUUCGAAUCUCGGUUCUUGGGGGCUUCCGCUGUUAACCCCACACACACCAGAUAGAACCUG
RNAcentral lists this long non-coding RNA (3218 nucleotides) under Actinidia chinensis (golden kiwifruit). Its description in RNAcentral is "long non-coding RNA (ACHI_LNC003961)". Lineage: Eukaryota; Viridiplantae; Streptophyta; Magnoliopsida; Ericales; Actinidiaceae. The record is from RNAcentral.